GACGAACGCUGGCGGCGUGCUUAACACAUGCAAGUCGAACGGUAAGGCCCUUCGGGGUACACGAGUGGCGAACGGGUGAGUAACACGUGGGUGAUCUGCCCUGCACUUCGGGAUCAGCCUGGGAAACUGGGUCUAAUACCGGAUAGGACCACUGCCUGCAUGGGUGGUGGGGGAAAGCUUUUGCGGUGUGGGAUGGGCCCGCGGCGUAUCAGCUUGUUGGUGGGGUGAUGGCCUACCAAGGCGACGACGGGUAGCCGGCCUGAGAGGGUGACCGGCCACACUGGGACUGAGAUACGGCCCAGACUCCUACGGGAGGCAGCAGUGGGGAAUAUUGCACAAUGGGCGCAAGCCUGAUGCAGCGACGCCGCGUGAGGGAUGACGGCCUUCGGGUUGUAAACCUCUUUCAGCACCGACGAAGCGCAAGUGACGGUAGGUGCAGAAGAAGGACCGGCCAACUACGUGCCAGCAGCCGCCGUAA
Molecule: ribosomal RNA, 478 nt
Filed under: uncultured bacterium
Lineage: Bacteria
Description: partial 16S ribosomal RNA
Rfam family: Bacterial small subunit ribosomal RNA
Source: RNAcentral